AACGGCGAGUGAAGCGGCAAAAGCUCAAAUUUGAAAUCCUGCGGGAAUUGUAAUUUGAAGGUUUCGUGGUCUGAGUCGGCCGCGCCCAAGUCCAUUGGAACAUGGCGCCUGGGAGGGUGAGAGCCCCGUCCGGCGCACGCCGACUCUUUGCACCGCGGCUCCGACGAGUCGAGUUGUUUGGGAAUGCAGCUCUAAGUGGGUGGUAAAUUCCAUCUAAAGCUAAAUAUUGGCGAGAGACCGAUAGCGAACAAGUACAGUGAUGGAAAGAUGAAAAGCACUUUGAAAAGAGAGUGAAACAGCACGUGAAAUUGUUGAAAGGGAAGGGCUUGCAAGCAGACACGGUUUUACCGGGCCAGCGUCGAAAAGGGGGGAGGAACAAGAACUCGAGAAUGUGGCGCGCACCUUCGGGUGCGCGUGUUAUAGCUCGUGUUGACGCCUCCAUCCUUUUUCGAGGCCUGCGAUUCUAGGACGCUGGCGUAAUGGUUGCAAGCCGC
This 494-nucleotide ribosomal RNA is filed under the name Clavispora lusitaniae. RNAcentral describes it as "eukaryotic LSU rRNA". It matches the Rfam family "Eukaryotic large subunit ribosomal RNA", at positions 85 to 648 of the family's 3401-position model. The record is from RNAcentral. Lineage: Eukaryota; Fungi; Ascomycota; Pichiomycetes; Serinales; Metschnikowiaceae.